GACGAACGCUGGCGGCGUGCUUAACACAUGCAAGUCGAACGGGCCCGCUCUCUUUUAUGGGGGUGGGUUGAGUGGCGAACGGGUGAGUAUCACGUGAGUAACCUGCCCCCUGCUCCUGGAUAACUGCUUGAAAGGGCGGCUAAUACGGGGUGUGCCGGCUGGUCCGCAUGGGCCUGGUCGGGAUAGUUUCAUCUUCGGGUGUUUCGGUGGGGGAUGGGCUCGCGGCCUAUCAGCUUGUUGGUGGGGUGAUGGCCCACCAAGGCGGUGACGGGUAGCCGGCCUGAGAGGGUGGGCGGCCACACUGGGACUGAGACACGGCCCAGACUCCUGCGGGAGGCAGCAGUGGGGGGUAUUGCACAAUGGGCGGAAGCCUGAUGCAGCGACGGCGCGUGAGGGAUGGAGGCCUUCGGGUUGUGAACCUCUUUCUCCGGUGGUGAAGGCCCUGUCCGUUGCGGCGGGGUUGACGGUAGCCGGGGAUGAAGCGCCGGCUAACUACGUG
RNAcentral lists this ribosomal RNA (499 nucleotides) under uncultured bacterium. Its description in RNAcentral is "partial 16S ribosomal RNA". It matches the Rfam family "Bacterial small subunit ribosomal RNA", at positions 28 to 507 of the family's 1533-position model. The record is from RNAcentral.